RNAcentral lists this transfer RNA (72 nucleotides) under Camelus ferus (Wild Bactrian camel). It matches the Rfam family "tRNA". Rfam says of the family: Transfer RNA (tRNA) molecules are approximately 80 nucleotides in length. Their secondary structure includes four short double-helical elements and three loops (D, anti-codon, and T loops). Lineage: Eukaryota; Metazoa; Chordata; Mammalia; Artiodactyla; Camelidae. The record is from Rfam by way of RNAcentral.
GGAGGUAGAGCUCAGGGGUAGAGCAUAUGCUUAGCAUGCACGAGGUCCGGGGUUCAAUCCCCAGUAGCUCCA